AUUGAACGCUGGCGGCAUGCCUUACACAUGCAAGUCGAACGGCAGCACGGGAGCAAUCCUGGUGGCGAGUGGCGAACGGGUGAGUAAUAUAUCGGAACGUGCCCGGUCGUGGGGGAUAACGUAGCGAAAGCUACGCUAAUACCGCAUACGAUCUACGGAUGAAAGCGGGGGAUCGCAAGACCUCGCGCGAUUGGAGCGGCCGAUAUCAGAUUAGGUAGUUGGUGAGGUAAAGGCUCACCAAGCCGACGAUCUGUAGCUGGUCUGAGAGGACGACCAGCCACACUGGGACUGAGACACGGCCCAGACUCCUCCGGGAGGCAGCAGUGGGAAUUUUGGACAAUGGGCGCAAGCCUGAUCCAGCAAUGCCGCGUGCAGGAUGAAGGCCUUCGGGUUGUAAACUGCUUUGUACGGAACGAAACGGUGAGCUCUAAUACAGUUUGCUAAUGACGGUACCGUAAGAAUAAGCACCGGCUAACUACGUG
This 482-nucleotide ribosomal RNA is filed under the name uncultured bacterium. Its description in RNAcentral is "bacterial SSU rRNA". It matches the Rfam family "Bacterial small subunit ribosomal RNA", at positions 30 to 507 of the family's 1533-position model. The record is from RNAcentral.